AUUUAGCCAUGCAUGCCAGCGAAGCUUUUAUGUGAAGCGGCGGACAGCUCAGUAAUACAGUUAUUAUUUACUCGUGGUAAGUAAAUGGAUAUCCAUGGUAAACUAUGGGUAAUACAUGUACGGAUUAUGAAUUUGGUGAAACAAAUAUAAUUUACAGGUAUAUUAUAUAUGCCGACCACGACUAAGUUUCUGGCCUAUCAGCUAUUAGAAGGUAGGGUAAUGGCCUACCUUGGCUAUGACGGGUAACGGGAGAUCAGUGUCUGAUACCGGAGAGGGAGCCUGAGAAAUAGCUCCCACGUCUAAGGACGGCAGCAGGCGCGAAACUUACCCAAUCUCUAUUUUAGGAGGAGGUAGUGAAGAGACAUGAGAUAUUUUAUCUAUAGACCUUACAGUAAAUAAGUAAGGAAUCGACUGGAGGGCAAGUCUGGUGCCAGCAGCCGCGGUAAUUCCAGCUCCAGUAGCGCAUAUACUUGUUGCUGCAGUUAAAAAGUCCGUAGUUGAUCAUUUUUUUGUACUGUGAGUAAAAUACGGAGUUUUGAACUCAAAGCAAAGUAAUUUAGCAUGGGACAUAUUGAAGAUAGGAACAGAUGAUGGUGAUAGUAUUCAAUAGUUAGAGGUGAAAAUUGAUGACCUAUUGAGGACUUUCCGAAGCGAAGGCGAUCACCAAGGAUGUAUCCGUUAAUCAAGGACUUAAGCCGGAGGAUCGAAGAUGAUUAGAUACCGUCGUAGUUCCGGCUGUAAACUAUGCCAACUAGGUGAGGCCAAAAGGCUGUGCCUUAAGAGAAAUUAAGAGUUUUUGGGCUCUGGGGAUAGUACAAUCGCAAGAUAGAAACUUAAAGAAAUU
This 844-nucleotide ribosomal RNA is filed under the name Microsporidium sp. BFAS2. RNAcentral describes it as "SSU rRNA". It matches the Rfam family "Microsporidia small subunit ribosomal RNA", at positions 42 to 788 of the family's 1311-position model. The record is from RNAcentral. Lineage: Eukaryota; Fungi; Microsporidia.